UACGAAGGGUGCAAGCGUUGUUCGGAUUUAUUGGGCGUAAAGCGCGCGCAGGCGGAUUGUUAAGUCAGAUGUGAAAUCUCGGGGCUCAACCCCGAAACUGCGUCUGAAACUGAUAAUCUAGAAUCUCGGAGAGGGAAGGGGAAUUUCGCAUGUAGGGGUAAAAUCCGUAGAGAUGCGAAGGAACACCAGAGGCGAAGGCG
Molecule: ribosomal RNA, 200 nt
Filed under: uncultured bacterium
Lineage: Bacteria
Description: partial 16S ribosomal RNA
Rfam family: Bacterial small subunit ribosomal RNA
Source: RNAcentral